GAUGAACGCUGGCGGCGUGCCUAAUACAUGCAAGUCGAGCGAACAGACGAGGAGCUUGCUCCUUCGACGUUAGCGGCGGACGGGUGAGUAACACGUAGGUAACCUACCUAUAAGACUGGGAUAACUUCGGGAAACCGGAGCUAAUACCGGAUAAUAUUUCGAACCGCAUGGUUCGAUAGUGAAAGAUGGCUUUGCUAUCACUUAUAGAUGGACCUGCGCCGGAUUAGCUAGUUGGUAAGGUAACGGCUUACCAAGGCAACGAUACGUAGCCGACCUGAGAGGGUGAUCGGCCACACUGGAACUGAGACACGGUCCAGACUCCUACGGGAGGCAGCAGUAGGGAAUCUUCCGCAAUGGGCGAAAGCCUGACGGAGCAACGCCGCGUGAGUGAUGAAGGUCUUCGGAUCGUAAAACUCUGUUAUUAGGGAAGAACAAACGUGUAAGUAACUGUGCACGUCUUGACGGUACCUAAUCAGAAAGCCACGGCUAACUACGUG
Molecule: ribosomal RNA, 497 nt
Filed under: uncultured bacterium
Lineage: Bacteria
Description: partial 16S ribosomal RNA
Rfam family: Bacterial small subunit ribosomal RNA
Source: RNAcentral